This 478-nucleotide ribosomal RNA is filed under the name uncultured bacterium. Its description in RNAcentral is "partial 16S ribosomal RNA". It matches the Rfam family "Bacterial small subunit ribosomal RNA", at positions 28 to 507 of the family's 1533-position model. The record is from RNAcentral.
GAUGAACGCUGGCGGCGUGCUUAACACAUGCAAGUCGAACGAGAAGUGGAGACGGAAACCUUCGGGCGGAAGACUUUAUUUCGAGUGGCGGACGGGUGAGUAACGCGUGGGUAACCUGCCUCAUACAGGGGGAUAACAGUUGGAAACGACUGUUAAUACCGCAUAAGACCACAGCACCGCAUGGUGCGGGGGUAAAAACUCCGGUGGUAUGAGAUGGACCCGCGUUCGAGUAGCCAGUUGGCGGGGUAACGGCCCACCAAAGCGACGAUCGAUAGCCGAUCUGUGAGGAUGACCGGCCACACUGGGACUGAGACACGGCCCAAACUCCUACGGGAGGCAGCAGUGGGGAAUAUUGCACAAUGGGGGAAACCCUGAUGCUGCGACGCCGCGUGAGUGAAGAAGUAUUUCGGUAUGUAAAGCUCUAUCAGCAGGGAAGAAAAUGACGGUACCUGAGUAAGAAGCCCCGGCUAACUACGUG